GCGGGUGUAGCUCAAUUGGCCAGAGCAUUGGCUUGUCGAGCCAAGGGUUGCGAGUUCGAGUCUCGUCACCCGCGCAA
This 77-nucleotide transfer RNA is filed under the name Candidatus Nealsonbacteria bacterium CG18_big_fil_WC_8_21_14_2_50_37_10. RNAcentral's name for it is "tRNA-Asp". It matches the Rfam family "tRNA". Rfam says of the family: Transfer RNA (tRNA) molecules are approximately 80 nucleotides in length. Their secondary structure includes four short double-helical elements and three loops (D, anti-codon, and T loops). Lineage: Bacteria; Candidatus Nealsoniibacteriota. The record is from RNAcentral.